This is a long non-coding RNA of Ornithodoros turicata, 780 nucleotides long. RefSeq lists it as uncharacterized. The transcript has 3 exons. Lineage: Eukaryota; Metazoa; Arthropoda; Arachnida; Ixodida; Argasidae. The record is from RefSeq and is a predicted model, not a curated record.
ACCCAGGAGCAUCUCCGCUGGCUCCGAUCGCUUUUAAACUACUGGAAAAAAUACCAAACCCAUCGGAGUAAUCUCUCGUCUCCUUGCAAUAUCAGCGCGCUGUCUUCUGCUACACUGUGUGCAGGACACGUCGCGCUAGUUUUAGUUUCGGUUUCUAAUCCUGUUUACUCAGUUUUACCUUGUACCUUUUAGCCUUGUAGCCGUCCUUCUGCAAUCAUUUCGUGUCGUCCAGUUGUGAGACGCAGCUCCACCGAAGACAAAUAGCGAGUGCGUGGUUGGAUUUUAGUUUCGGUUUCUGACUCUGUCGUCUUCUGCGGAGGAAAGUCGUCUGCAACCAACAGUUGGUUGGUCGUCUGCUUUCACGAAGCGAAAAGGUGCUGCGUUCUUUUCGGUGUGCGGUGCUGGAAAGUGUAUUUUUUUUUUGUGGAUAACAAGAAGGUGAUUGUGCAGUGAGGAAGACAAGAUAUUGUGUGUGAAAAAUCAUUCGACUGUGGAAAGCGACUUUGAGCAUUUCGCACCUGGGAAGAAUACGAGACCCUGGUGACGGUACAGGGAUAAGUGGAAGCAACGACAGAGGUGCGGUGCGGCGCCGGUGGUGUGGUGACUGAAGGUGAUCACGAAGAGGAGGAGGAGGAGGUGACCGAGUAGCAGAGUGUGUGUGUGAGAGAGAGAGAGCCACACAAGUGGGAUUUUUGUGGCAUGAGGCAAAAGGCCUCCUCCUCUGGGGAGGCCCAAUAAGGUCGACACCAUAUUCCCACGCACUCCCAGCUCCCCGCAUGU